This 253-nucleotide ribosomal RNA is filed under the name uncultured bacterium. RNAcentral's name for it is "partial 16S ribosomal RNA". It matches the Rfam family "Bacterial small subunit ribosomal RNA", at positions 524 to 776 of the family's 1533-position model. The record is from RNAcentral.
UACGGAGGGAGCUAGCGUUGUUCGGAAUUACUGGGCGUAAAGCGCGCGUAGGCGGCUUUGUAAGUUAGAGGUGAAAGCCCGGGGCUCAACUCCGGAACUGCCUUUAAAACUGCAUCGCUAGAAUCCGGGAGAGGUGAGUGGAAUUCCGAGUGUAGAGGUGAAAUUCGUAGAUAUUCGGAAGAACACCAGUGGCGAAGGCGGCUCACUGGACCGGUAUUGACGCUGAGGUGCGAAAGCGUGGGGAGCAAACAGG